Molecule: non-coding RNA, 334 nt
Organism: Chelonoidis abingdonii (Abingdon island giant tortoise)
Lineage: Eukaryota; Metazoa; Chordata; Testudines; Testudinidae
Source: RefSeq, a predicted model, not a curated record
AACCUCAUGAAAACAGACUGGGGGCUUGACUACACUUGACAGUUACAGCAUUGGUGGUGGCUUUACAGUGUUGUAACUUACUCCCCGUCCACAUUGGCAAGGCACAUACAGCACUGUAUCUCCCUGGCUACAGCGCUGGCUGUUUCCACCUUGACCUGGGGAAUAACAACUAUAGUGCUGCUUUUGCAGCGCUGGGGUGCCAGUGUAAACAGUGAUUAAUCUUAUUAUAAUGUAACUGACCUCCGGAACCUUCCCAUAAUGCUUUUUAAGAAAAGAUAACACUCUGUUUUGUUGUGAGCUCAGAGCUCCCGGAGCUGCUAAUCUAAAAAACGAG